CUACGGGGUGCAGCAGUGAGGAAUAUUGGUCAAUGGGCGCAAGCCUGAACCAGCCAUCCCGCGUGGAGGAAGACGGCCCUAUGGGUUGUAAACUCCUUUUAUAAGGGAAGAAUAUACGUAUCGUGAUAUGUUUUGACGGUACCUUAUGAAUAAGCAUCGGCUAACUCCGUGCCAGCAGCCGCGGUAAUACGGAGGAUGCGAGCGUUAUCCGGAUUCAUUGGGUUUAAAGGGUGCGCAGGCGGACCAAUAAGUCAGUGGUGAAAUCUUACGGCUCAACCGUGAAACUGCCAUUGAUACUGUUAGUCUUGAGUACGGCUGAGGUAGGCGGAAUGUGUAAUGUAGCGGUGAAAUGCUUAGAUAUUACACAGAACACCAAUUGCGUAGGCAGCUUACUAGACCGUAACUGACGCUGAGGCACGAAAGCGUGGGUAGCGAACAGGAUUAGAUACCCGCGUAGUC
Molecule: ribosomal RNA, 459 nt
Filed under: uncultured bacterium
Lineage: Bacteria
Description: partial 16S ribosomal RNA
Rfam family: Bacterial small subunit ribosomal RNA
Source: RNAcentral